CCUACGUGAGGCAGCAGUGAGGAAUAUUGGUCAAUGGACGAGAGUCUGAACCAGCCAAGUAGCGUGAAGGAUGACUGCCCUAUGGGUUGUAAACUUCUUUUAUAUGGGAAUAAAAUGUUCCACGUGUGGGAUUUUGUAUGUACCAUAUGAAUAAGGAUCGGCUAACUCCGUGCCAGCAGCCGCGGUAAUACGGAGGAUCCGAGCGUUAUCCGGAUUUAUUGGGUUUAAAGGGAGCGUAGAUGGGUUGUUAAGUCAGUUGUGAAAGUUUGCGGCUCAACCGUAAAAUUGCAAUUGAUACUGGCAGUCUGGAGUACAGUUGAGGUAGGCGGAAUUCGUGGUGUAGCGGUGAAAUGCUUAGAUAUCACGAAGAACUCCGAUUGCGAAGGCAGCUUACUAAACUGCCACUGACAUUGAUGCUCGAAAGUGUGGGUAUCAAACAGGAUUAGAUACCCCAGUAGUC
This 460-nucleotide ribosomal RNA is filed under the name uncultured bacterium. RNAcentral describes it as "partial 16S ribosomal RNA". It matches the Rfam family "Bacterial small subunit ribosomal RNA", at positions 338 to 795 of the family's 1533-position model. The record is from RNAcentral.